CGAUUUGAUCUUCCUGAGAGUUAAUCUGCGUUAAGUACUCCAUCCAUUGCUGUAAACACUGCGACUGGCAGAGCCAUACAGAGAUCUCGCAGGUCAAUUUAGAAUUCGCCAUGCAAUUUCAGGUGUGGAAGUUGCCCGUUCUCUGCCUCCUGUUCUGUUACUGGAGCUCGACAUCAACAGUGACCGGAUUUACUACCGAACAAUUAAAAAGGGUCACGGAUUAUGUCAGCCAGACAUACGGGAUUACAAAGCAGUACGCCUACGUGAUUACAUUUGAUAAGACUGAAUGUGAACAACUGACUGAUCAAAAUAUAAAGGAUGCUCUGAA
Long non-coding RNA from Pelobates fuscus (common spadefoot toad), 328 nucleotides. RefSeq lists it as uncharacterized. The transcript has 3 exons. Lineage: Eukaryota; Metazoa; Chordata; Amphibia; Anura; Pelobatidae. The record is from RefSeq and is a predicted model, not a curated record.